Molecule: long non-coding RNA, 802 nt
Organism: Chelonia mydas (Green sea turtle)
Lineage: Eukaryota; Metazoa; Chordata; Testudines; Cheloniidae
Exons: 2
Source: RefSeq, a predicted model, not a curated record
AUCUGACAUUCCCUCUUUCUGUCUCCCAGCUGGGCUGGACGAGGAAGUGGCUCACUCAAAACUUUUCUAGCCCUCCCACAUUCUUUCUGCAAUCGACUGGGAAAUGGAGCCGGAGAGGGAUGUUCUCCUCUCCCCCCUCCCCCUUUCAGUCUCUGAAAAAGGACAUUCUUAAUGGGGCUUUCUCUGGUACUGCAAACAGGGAGAUCUCCGCUUCUCAGAGCGCAUGGGGCUUGUUACAAUAUUUCUAGAGCGGAAGAUUAUGCACAGAACUCAAAGAACAGAUUAAAACGAGCACACAGCGGGACGAAUGGCAUAUUUAUAUUUUAUGAUCAUGCAGCAUUGUUCAACUGAGGAAACAGGAAUGGGUGACAAAACAAAAACUGGUGUUCUGAAAUGACUCAGUGAAACACACUUCACCCCGAGGAAGUUAUCGGAAAUAAUUCCUUUCAGCUGACGCUCGUAUUUUUUUACCGCUUUUGUAAAUGUCUGCGCAAUUUCAAAUGAACAUUUUUAUAAUCUAAUUUAUUUCUCAGGGUUAAUGUACGUUUUACAUUUCAUUCACCUUGGACAAUGAAAACAGACAAGUUAGUUCCAUUUUGAUUUAUAGUCAGUUUGGUCUUAAUUCCACUUUCAAGCUCUAAACUCUGCUUCAAAGUUGUAAUGCUUAAAUUAGGAACACUGCAGGUGAAUGACUGAAUCCACUUAAAAUCUAUUUUAAUUGACUUUUUUAAUGAUAAAAACAUUGAUAAACUUUUUUUCAAGACCUUGUUUUUACAAAAUGUAAAGUCUUUCAAACACUGAA